AAAAAAAAAAUGUUUCUGUCUGAUACACAGCUCAUUAUGAACAGUUUUCAUGGAAACAGCCUCUAAAGAUAGCGUCUCUGAGGAAACAGUUGACAGCGAUCUGUGUGGCUGGUUGGAUACCACCAGCGUCCGAGAAUGACACGUGGACAAGAAGAGCGAGACGGAUAACACACACCAACGGGAGGGAGUCAUUAAUUAGCAGCGCACACCCAUGUGUUGAUCCUCAGGAUGGGAAGAAACGUGUUGCCAUGGUGAAUGCAUGGAUGUGUGAAUCAGUGUUUGACAGUGGCAUUUCCUUUCUACCAGUUUACAUUCACAGAGAAUUCCCGCUGUUAUAAAGAACAUAUUGCCGCCCAUUGCUAAUAAACAUUGGCAUUCAAUAUAGGCAGCAUUUAGUAGUUCUGUUGAAAUUGUUAAAGUAACGGUCUGUACUGUUUUCCAAUGGUUGGGCUUGUUUGUGGUGGCACUCUAUGUACUUCUAUGCUGAAAGAAUAAACGAUAGAAUUUUCAAGUAGUUUCUUAAGCAAACAUACUACUAAGUCGGUGGUCUUGCUUCUUAGAGAAAUAGUUCUACAUUUUUGGAACUGCGCUUGCUGAGAGUCAUAUCUGUUUACAGGCUGCAGCUGGAGAGCUCGGCUCAGACUAAAGACUGACGGUAAACACCCAUUCAUUACAGUGUCAUGUAUCUUUUUUUAAUACCUAGAAAAACAUCAAAAGACACAUGUGCUGCACAAUUAAGAGUGUGGAAUCAAUCGUAUCAUCCAACUGUAACAAGCAAUUAUUUAUGUAUUUAAACGAAAUAUUGGUGAAAAUGUUUUUCUCUUUUUUUUUUUUUUUUUACUUUCUCAAUUUUUCAAUUGAACUUUGGGUUUUGCUGUUUGGAUACAACGGGACAUUUAAAGAUGUGACUAGAUUUUUGAAACUUUUGAUUGGAGUUUUUUAGGGCUGUCCUGCGGCCAACAUACUCGGCUAACACAUUGUGUUAAACCCAAAAAUGUGAUGAAAUGUAAUUAAUGGACUGAGAGCAAUGAUGUGCAUUAUGAUGACUGGGAAAAUAAUGAACAGAUUAAUUAAUAGUGAAAAUAAUUGUGUUAGCCCGAACACCUUCAUGCCAGAGUUACAGUAUGUUAAUAAAAAAAACACUGGACCUGACUGACUGUAGUUGUUUUACAAUCUCUAUAUUCUAAC
This is a long non-coding RNA of Gasterosteus aculeatus aculeatus (three-spined stickleback), 1188 nucleotides long. The record is from Ensembl. NCBI's taxonomy places the organism in Eukaryota, Metazoa, Chordata, Actinopteri, Perciformes, Gasterosteidae.